RNAcentral lists this ribosomal RNA (253 nucleotides) under uncultured bacterium. RNAcentral's name for it is "partial 16S ribosomal RNA". It matches the Rfam family "Bacterial small subunit ribosomal RNA", at positions 524 to 776 of the family's 1533-position model. The record is from RNAcentral.
UACGUAGGGGGCAAGCGUUGUCCGGAUUUAUUGGGCGUAAAGAGCGCGUAGGCGGCCCGUUAAGUCGGAUGUGAAAACCCGUGGCUCAACCACGGGCCUGCAUCCGAUACUGGCGGGCUCGAGGCAGGCAGGGGAGAUCGGAAUUCCUGGUGUAGCGGUGAAAUGCGCAGAUAUCAGGAGGAACACCGGUGGCGAAGGCGGAUCUCUGGGCCUGUCCUGACGCUCAGGCGCGAAAGCGUGGGGAGCGAACAGG